UACGUAGGGACCAAGCGUUGUUCGGAUUUACUGGGCGUAAAGGGCGCGUAGGCGGCAAUUCAAGUCAUCUGUGAAAUCUCCGGGCUUAACCCGGAACGGUCAGGUGAUACUGUUUUGCUAGAGUGCGGAAGGGGCAAUCGGAAUUCUCGGUGUAGCGGUGAAAUGCGUAGAUAUCAGGAGGAACACCGAUGGCGAAGGCAGGUCUCUGGGCUGACACUGACGCUCAUGCACGAAAGCGUGGGGAGCAAACAGG
RNAcentral lists this ribosomal RNA (253 nucleotides) under uncultured bacterium. Its description in RNAcentral is "partial 16S ribosomal RNA". It matches the Rfam family "Bacterial small subunit ribosomal RNA", at positions 524 to 776 of the family's 1533-position model. The record is from RNAcentral.